CGAGAGAAGGAGGGGAUUCCGACGCCGUGAGAGACGCCGGAGUUGGGAUACGAAAAAAGUCAACUUCGCUGUUUUUUCUCCUUAAUCACCUUUUUUUUUUUUUUUAGUUUUGAUCCUCUCCGGUCGACUUAGUUACGUCUUACGUUAAAUAGUAUGUUUAUGUAGUGUCUAAGAUUGAAUGCAUAAGAAUUUAACCCAAAUGCUGAAAAGGCUAAUUAAAUGCUAUUUACGAGCUCUAAUCAUACCAUGGCAUUUUGGUCAGUCCAAGCCACACUGUGGGAUCUACAUAAAUACGAAAUUGCCAGUCUAGUAUUUCUUUAAAUGCUUUUCAAAUCGUUGGAAUGUAGUGUGAUUAAUUACUCUUGUGAAGACUACGUGUACAUGUGUGUGCGACCUUAACAUGAUUAUGAGAGUAAGACCAAGAACACAAAGCUUCAUGGAUACAUCCUGAUCAUUCAUUCGUGUGUUAUAUAUCAACUUUGCCAUAGAAGUCAAAAUCACCAAACAAUCCGUGAAAUGUCAAAUUCUGAAUAGAAGAAACCUUGAGAAGGAUAACAAUCAUGUUGAUGAUCACUGUCUUACGGGUCUGGGCCUAACAUAUUAUAUAAUUGCGGUACAAGACCCAACAAGAAGAUCCAACCCAUUGGAAAACAUUGUGCCAAUGGCAAAAGAUAUUAUCUUUAUAUAUACAACCAGAGUUUUAUUUGAGCACGCAACAUCUCAUGCAAAUUAUGCAGUACACAAAUGAUAUUAUUUGUUAAACAUAAGUUCAUAUUUGGCCUUAACUGAGAUAUGAUGCUCAAUGCAUGACCAGGCCACCAGGGGUUAUCUAUCUCGCGUUCUUAUGUAUAAAUAUAUAUAAUGUAUGAUUUAACACUAUUGGUAACAUACUGAUUAACAUGUAACGUAGCUAAAAUUUGAAUAUAGUUUUUAUUUGAAGAUGAACUGUAAAUAUAAUAAUAUUAAACAGACAUACUAAUAUACUAUAUUAUAGCAAUUCUUAGUUAGUUGGUAAUUAAAUACAUAAAUCGAAAUAUGGUCUACAAGAAAGGGGACAAAAGUGACUUGACUAACAAUAGUGUCAUCUCUUUAUAUUUACAGUUCCAUAUACAUACACACGUACAUAAGCACGAAUUUAUUAUAUAUAUAUAUAUAUAUAUAUAUAUAUAUAUAUAUAUAUAUAUAUAUAUAUAUGCAUGCAUAAUAUAAUGACGAUGGCAUUACUCGUAAGUUACGUAAGUGGUGACUUGGAAAUGGGAUUAAAGCAAAGAAGUUGAUUUAAAACUUUUGAUUAAGGGGACAAGCGAUGAUCAAGAGUCUUGAAUCUUAAUUAAUUCAUAAUUAGCAAACGAGAGUUUGUAGAGAAAUAGAAGAAAAGUGGUGGGGUUUAAGGCAGAAGCCUCGUUUCCUAAUCCUAAGGUGUUCAAAUGUCACUUUAACAAAGUAGACAUGAAGAGACUCAAGUUUUUCCAAGAAACUGUAACUUCAUAAUAUAUUCCAUUUCAUGAAACAAAGAUUCACAUAUUUUCACUUUUCACAAACUCAACGACCACAUUCUAAUUAAUCAUGUUUCUAAUCACAUAUGUUAUUCAAUUGCGCACAAAUGACCAAGUCGGAAAAUCACAUAAAAUGUAUAUACUUCGAAAUUAAGACUAACUAGUUUUUUUUUUUAACAUGAACCUAAAAUUGCAAGUAACCCACACAUAAGUCGCAAAUAUUAGGAAUGGUCUAGAGCUAUACGUGUACACCUAUGUGUCGCAUGCAUAUUCGUCUAUAUUUUAUCUUCCGUACCGGCGACAAUUACAGAAGUGUUAUGUAACAAAUUUGAUCAUAUGUACUUGUUUAAGUAAUUGGGUUAAAACUGUAUGAGUCGCACGUGUGAUUGCGUACAUUCGCACGCACCCUAUCCUUUCACAUUAGUUCCAAAGUCAUUUUCACCAACCAAAUGCAACAUCUCCAACACUUCUUUCUGUGAUCUUAUUAGCAUCAGAUUUGACAAAGUAAGACAAAUUUAUAUUUUCUUAACCUUAAUCAUUUCUAACCAAAAAAAACUGAAUCAUUAUUUAUUUGAAUAAUCUUAUUUCAUCAGAUACCUUAAUUCUUCAGCUGACUUUUAAAACUCUUAAUAACUCUAUUUUAUAUUAUAUUAAAAUGAAUAAUUCAAUAACCAUAGUAUAUAUGAAUACAUAGAUAAAGUAAAACACAAAAUAUCUUCUUUGAAAUUGUUGUACCUUCCCCAUCAUGACAUCUGUAAAUACAUACGUUAUAUUUACCUUAAUUAAAAACAAGCCUGAUCUAUAUAUAUAUACAUAUUUGUUAUUUUGUACGAACGAGUAAUGCAUAAUUCUUAUUUUAGAUCAUUGCUAUUCUUCUAUAACUAAUGAUAAAGUAGUGAAGACGGGUAUAUAUAAAGUUACUCUGUAAAUUUCUUUAAUAAAUUUCAAAGAACUGUUCUAAGAAAAUUGAUUAAGAACUCAAACGCUACAUCAAGAGAUGAGAGAUCUAUAAUGGCGACAUGCUCGAGAACCGCUACUAGUAAAAAUGUCUUGCCAUAAUGCCACUAACUUUUCGGUAAUGUAUAUUAACAAGAAUUAAUUAGUAAAAGUCUUCUAUAUGUGUGUAUAUUUUUAACAAAAAAGUAUGUAUAUAAUUAUUUAUAUAUUAUGUAACGUUUUUUUUUUCUGAAAACAAUCGUGGGGUAAAGGUGUGAGAAUUAAGGUUAUAUAUAGGUGGGUGAGCUUUGGUAGGCUUUUGACAUAACUUGCAAGCUGUUGAGAUUUUCCAUCCUCAAUAACUUUUAGAUUUCUCAUCUCUCUAGCUCCCAUCUCUUUACUCUCUAUUUCACAUCCCCAUAAUUCAUAAUACACAAUCACACAUUAAUAUAAUAUUUAAUGGGGAGGCAGCCAUGCUGCGACAAGCUAGGGGUGAAGAAAGGGCCUUGGACGGUGGAGGAAGACAAGAAGCUCAUAAACUUCAUACUCACCAACGGCCAUUGUUGCUGGCGUGCUUUGCCAAAGCUGGCCGGUCUCCGCCGCUGUGGAAAGAGCUGCCGUCUUCGCUGGACUAACUAUCUCCGGCCUGACUUGAAGAGGGGCCUUCUCUCUCACGAUGAAGAACAACUUGUCAUUGAUCUUCACGCUCAUCUCGGCAAUAAGUAAGCCUACAUAACUAGUACUCAUAAAUUAAACCCACAGUUUCUUUUGUGUUGCUUCUACUUAUGAUUUGUGUCUUUAGGUAUAUCGUUCCAUAUAUGAACAAAAGCUUACAAAUUAUCAAAUUUAUGUUAAAAUUGCGAUUUUACGUUGUAAAAACACUAGAGACUUAAGAUAAACAUUGGUUUAGAUCUCGACAUCUCGUAUGUUAUUCAUAAAAUAUAAAGUCAAUUGCAUGUGAUCCAACAUGUUUAGUGUAUGUAUGUGUUAAGUAAAUUAUGCCAAAUAUAUCAAUUAGAUAGAUCCAAAUAAGUUGGUCAAAUAUGUAGAAUAAUUUUUCGAUUUGCAUUAAUUUUACUUUGAAAUCAACUUCAAGACAAAGUAACGUCCUUCUCUUCCAAAAACAAUGUUAACUUAUUUUGUCAAUCUUCUUGUGUUUAUAUUUCAAGAAACAUAUCCACCAACACUUCAUAAAAUAUUAUAUAUUCUUGUGAUUGAGAAUUUUUUUAUUAUCUUAUAGGUGGUCUAAGAUAGCUUCAAGAUUACCUGGAAGAACAGAUAAUGAAAUAAAAAACCAUUGGAAUACUCACAUCAAGAAAAAACUUAUUAAGAUGGGAAUCGACCCUAUGACCCAUCAACCCUUAAACCAAGAACCUUCUAACACCGACCCGUCCAAAACCAUUUCCUCGAAUCCAGAUGAUAUCUCAAAGGAACCAAAGACAGCCAGCACAAAAACCUUGGACAUAAUUAGUGGCACGACAACAACAGAAGACGAAAGCAGUAGCACGGUUACUGAUCAAAACAGUUCGAUGGAUAAUGAAAAUCAUCUACUUGACAACAAUUACAAUGAUGAUGAGUUGUUUAGUUACUUAUGGUCCGACGAAACUACAAAAGCUGACGCCUCGUUGGGUGAUAGUAACUAUGGCGCCGUUGGUGGAACAUUAUAUGACAGUAAUAAUAUUUCCACCACCGUUUCAGAUCUUCCGAUAUGGUCACCCGAAGGAAUCAACGACAAAGAUUGGAUGUUUCUCGACUAUUGUCAAGACUUUGGUGUUCAUGAUUUUGGGUUUUGACUCUUCACUAUUGACAUAGUGGCAGCUCUCUGGAGAUGAGUCACAAGCAUAUAAUGUAUAUGUGUACACUAUAAAUGUAUAUGUAGUAGCAUAAAAAAUCCAUGUAAAGCAGUAAGGGUGCACCGUGGUUUUCAAGUAUUGUUAAUUAGGGUAUGGUGUAAGGUUUUGUCAAAGUCAGGACACCACAAGUUUAUUUAGUUUUCUUUUGUUUUUAUAUUAUGGUGUAGUCAAAUAAUUCACAUAAUGCCAAAAGCCUAAGAAUGAAUAAUAUCAUGAAAACAUUGUGAAUCGUCGUAAUCAACGUUUGGAUCUUUUUUAACUUAAGUGACUUAGAGCAGUGGCUCUAAUUUUUUUUCUAGUUUAUCAUCAUUGACUAUGUAUCUAUUAUUUUCAAACUUUUAAGGAGAUUUUUAUUGAUGUUCAAAGACGAUAUGAGCCUAACCAAUUAAAAAAUAAGUAUGAAUACAGUAUGUGACCUGAAUUAAAAUAACCAUUGUAGUCAUUAGUCAAUUUAUUGGUUUUGAUUCAAUAUAAAGUGAGUAUACAACCACAUAAGUCCGGAUUUAUGUACUUAACGUAUGAAACUAACACAUGAUCACCCAUUGGUCUUGGCCGUAAAACAGUUUAGAUUUUCAUAUCGUUUCAAAAUAUGUCCACUAGUCCAAAAAAUUAUAGGAAAAUAGAUUUUCUAAUACAUAAUUCCCUAAAUAGGUGAUGAAAAUAAAACAAAUUUUGUUUCACAGUUAUGUUUUCUUUCUGUAGUAAUGAUCAUAUGUUUUCCUUGUUGUUCGAUAUGGUUAUUAAUUAGUCCCCAUUUUUUGUAGUCAUUCACACUUUCGGAUUUGAAAUCAGGCUAUGACACAACACGACUAAUCUAAAACUUGGUGAUCAAAAGUCAUCAGUUACUAGAUACUAGUAAACUGCAUGUUAUAUAAGAUCAGAGUUUUAAGUCAAAGAGUAUCUUAAUUGUUUUUAGAUUCAACUUCACAGUUUUAGCCCUUUACUCCUUUAAGGUCAAACAAUUGGAAAUGAGAUGGGGCAACCUGCGACGAAAGUUAAAUGUGAAUGUAACAAACCGUCAAAUAUAUUUUGGUCUCCAUGUCUUUGUCAAUGAAACUAUACAAUGAGUUCAAUUUCUUCUUCUUCUUCUUCUUUCACAUUAAUGCCCUUAGAAAAAAUUAAUCCAAAGCAAAAGAAAAAACAUCGAUUCAUAAAAUAGUCUUACUCUUUACACUUUUGCUUCUUAUAGUCAAGACUACAUUUUGUGGUAAGAAUUGCUAAGUUGUCUACUCCACAGAGUGUACACUGGACGUUCCAAUUUGGAUUCCAUGUUUUGUUUUGUAAUUUUCCAAUGUAAAUAAAUUUUACGAACAAGUCACAUCUGAUGCUCCAUCCAAGUGUUCAAAACAAUAGGAAGUGAAAAAAAAGAUGUAAAUUACUAAGAGAAAAGAGUUUAGCUUCUGUUCAAGUUCCUCUGCAACGAAAACAUAAAACGAAAAAAAAAAUCUCAACAUAUCUCUCUCAUCAUCUCUCAAGCAAUUAAACACAGAAAUGGCAAAGAG
This 5787-nucleotide long non-coding RNA is filed under the name Capsella rubella. RNAcentral describes it as "long non-coding RNA (CRUB_LNC001426)". The record is from RNAcentral. Lineage: Eukaryota; Viridiplantae; Streptophyta; Magnoliopsida; Brassicales; Brassicaceae.